AUUGAACGCUGGCGGCAGGCCUAACACAUGCAAGUCGAGCGGAUGAAGGGGGCUUGCUCCUGGAUUCCGCGGCGGACGGGUGAGUAAUGCCUAGGAAUCUGCCUGGUAGUGGGGGAUAACGUCCGGAAACGGGCGCUAAUACCGCAUACGUCCUGAGGGUGAAAGAGGGGGAUCUUCGGACCUCAUGCUCUCAGAUGAGCCUAGGUCGGAUUAGCUAGUUGGUGGGGUAAGGGCCUACCAAGCCGACGAUCCGUAACUGGUCUGAGAGGAUGAUCAGUCACACUGGAACUGAGACACGGUCCAGACUCCUACGGGAGGCAGCAGUGGGGAAUAGUGGACAAUGGGCGAAAGCCUGAUCCAGCCAUGCCGCGUGUGUGAAGAAGGUCUUCGGAUUGUAAAGCACUUUAAGUUGGGAGGAAGGGCAGUAAGUUAAGACCUUGCUGGUUUGACGUUACCAACAGAAGAAGCACCGGCUAACUACGUG
Molecule: ribosomal RNA, 484 nt
Filed under: uncultured bacterium
Lineage: Bacteria
Description: partial 16S ribosomal RNA
Rfam family: Bacterial small subunit ribosomal RNA
Source: RNAcentral